This 1067-nucleotide long non-coding RNA is filed under the name Homo sapiens (human). Its description in RNAcentral is "HSALNT0295454". The record is from RNAcentral. Lineage: Eukaryota; Metazoa; Chordata; Mammalia; Primates; Hominidae.
GCGAGACCCCGGACCAGCCCGCACCGCGGAGGACCGGAGAGGGCGAUUCGGUGAGUAUAUGGUGAGAAGGCAGCUGUCUGUGAACCAGAAGGAGGGCCCUCACCAAGAAGUGACCAUGCUGGCACCCUGAUCUUGGACUUCUGGCAUCUGGAACUUUUAUUCUCUCCACAGUGGUCGGGGCAGUCUGAGAGAAUACGGUGGAAUCGAUGGUAUGCGACUUCCAAGGUUAGGUCAUAAAAGACAUUGAAGUUUCUGCUUUGUCUCUUGAAUCACUUUCUCUGGGGGAAACCAGCUACUGGGUCAUAAGGACACUCAAGCAGCACCAUGGAGGGGCCCAAGUGGAGAGAAACCAACUUGCCAGCAUUAACUUGGUAGUUGUGCAGCCAUGUGAAUGAGUGGAUCCUACCAUCCUAGUCAAACCUCUGAUAACUGAAGGUCCCACCUAUAUUUGACUGCAGUCUUCCAACAGACCCCACCCAAGCUGCUCUAGGAUUCCUGACCUACAGAAACUGUGAGGGAUAAGAUAUGCUUGUUGUUUUAACCCACUAAGUUUUAGAGUGAUUUGUUACACAGCAAUAUACAACAAAUACACAAGUCAUCACAGAAAGUUUGCUUGCUUUCAAGCCUGGAACGCCUGGGACCUUCAGUGAACCUCUUCCUCAGAUACAUGCCUGCGUAGUGUCAACUUGCUCUAUUGCUGGGAAGUGCUUGGCUGAUUAUCUUCUUCCUGCCCUGGGAGAUGUCUCACUAAUCAUUCAUUCAUUCAGCAAACAUUACAACGUUCCAGGCACUGUGCUAACUACUGAAUAUUCAGUGAUAUAGGAUAAAAUCUCUGUCCUAAAGUUGCUUGCAGUCAGAUGGGAGAAAAGCAAGUAAAUACAACAAUUUGUGAGCUUUAAAAAAGACCUAUAACAUCUUGUGAAGGAGGGGCAGAACUUAUCAUCCUCAACUAACAUAGAGAAAAUUGUCUCAUAGAGCAGGAGCUGAUAGCCCUUGGCUUUCUGGAUGGAGGAGACAGCAAUGGAGUGGAGGGAUUUCUCAGGAAUCUCCCCCAGGGGCUGCUCUAC